RNAcentral lists this ribosomal RNA (1467 nucleotides) under uncultured prokaryote. RNAcentral's name for it is "partial 16S ribosomal RNA". It matches the Rfam family "Bacterial small subunit ribosomal RNA". The record is from RNAcentral.
GAUGAACGCUAGCGGCAGGCUUAACACAUGCAAGUCGAGGGGUAAAGGUAGCUUGCUACUUUGAGACCGGCGCACGGGUGCGUAACGCGUAUGCAACCUACCUUGAACAGGGGAAUAGCCCAGAGAAAUUUGGAUUAAUGCCCCAUGGUAUUUUGAGAUGGCAUCAUCUUAUUAUUAAAGAUUUAUCGGUUCAAGAUGGGCAUGCGUCCCAUUAGUUUGUUGGAGAGGGAACGGCUCACCAAGACUACGAUGGGUAGGGGGCCUGAGAGGGUUAUCCCCCACACUGGUACUGAGACACGGACCAGACUCCUACGGGAGGCAGCAGUGAGGAAUAUUGGUCAAUGGGCGAAAGCCUGAACCAGCCAUGCCGCGUGCAGGAUGAAGGCUCUAUGAGUCGUAAACUGCUUUUAUACAGGAAGAAACCACCCUACGUGUAGGGUGCUGACGGUACCGUAUGAAUAAGCAUCGGCUAACUCCGUGCCAGCAGCCGCGGUAAUACGGAGGAUGCAAGCGUUAUCCGGAUUCAUUAGGUUUAAAGGGUGCGUAGGCGGGAUAGUAAGUCAGUGGUGAAAUCCAACAGCUUAACUGUUGAACUGCCUUUGAUACUGUUACUCUUGAAUUAUAUGGAAGUAGAUAGAAUGUGUAGUGUAGCGGUGAAAUGCUUAGAGAUUACACAGAAUACCGAUUGCGAAGGCAGUCUACUACGUAUAUAUUGACGCUAAUGGACGAAAGCGUGGGGAGCGAACAGGAUUAGAUACCCUGGUAGUCCACGCCGUAAACGAUGGACACUAGUUGUUCGAUUCUUUCAGUGUGACUAAGCGAACGUGAUACGUGUCCCACCUGGGGAGUACGAACGCAAGUUUGAAACUCAAAGGAAUUGACGGGGGCCCGCACAAGCGGUGGAGCAUGUGGUUUAAUUCGAUGAUACGCGAGGAACCUUACCAGGGCUUAAAUGUAAGUUGCAUGAUUAGAGAUAGAUCUUUCUUCGGACUACUUACAAGGUGCUGCAUGGUUGUCGUCAGCUCGUGCCGUGAGGUGUCAGGUUAAGUCCUAUAACGAGCGCAACCCCUGUUGUUAGUUGCCAGCGAGUCAAGUCGGGAACUCUAACAAGACUGCCAGUGCAAACUGUGAGGCAGGUGGGGAUGACGUCAAAUCAUCACGGCCCUUACGUCCUGGCCUACACACGUGCUACAAUGGUAGGUACAGAGAGCAGCCACUGGGCGACCAGGAGCGAAUCUAUAAAACCUAUCACAGUUCGGAUCGGAGUCUGCAACUCGACUCCGUGAAGCUGGAAUCGCUAGUAAUCGGAUAUCAGCCAUGAUCCGGUGAAUACGUUCCCGGGCCUUGUACACACCGCCCGUCAAGCCAUGGAAGUUGGAAGUGCCUGAAGUCCGUCACCGCAAGGAGCGGCCUAGGGUAAAGUCGAUAACUAGGGCUAAGUCGUAACAAGGUAGCCGUACCGGAAGG